Molecule: RNase P RNA, 389 nt
Filed under: Acutalibacter muris
Lineage: Bacteria; Bacillati; Bacillota; Clostridia; Eubacteriales; Acutalibacteraceae
Also listed under: 1 other name
Description: RNase P RNA component class A
Rfam family: Bacterial RNase P class A
About the family: Ribonuclease P (RNase P) is a ubiquitous endoribonuclease, found in archaea, bacteria and eukarya as well as chloroplasts and mitochondria.
Source: RNAcentral
UGAGCAAGCCGGGCAGUUGCGGGCGCAGGGUGAAAACCCGCGUCUGAGGAAAGUCCGAGCUUCAUAGGGCAAGGAUAACGGCUAACCGCCGCCGGGGGCGACCCCAGGGAAAGUGCAACAGAGAUAUACCGCCUGAUUUGGGGCGCAAGCCACAAUAUCAUGGUAAGGGUGGAAAGGCGAGGUAAGAGCUCACCGGCGCGGGGGAGACCCCGCGGCCCUGUAAACCCUAUCCGAAGCAACACCGUGGAGGAACAGGAGACUUUAGCGUCAGCUAAAUGUCUUCAGCGCGGCCCGCGCGUUCCGUGGAGGUGGCGCGAGCCCGUCGGCAACGGCGGGCCAAGAUAGAUGACUGCUCAAGACAGAACUCGGCUUACAGACUUGGUCACAUC